This 253-nucleotide ribosomal RNA is filed under the name uncultured bacterium. RNAcentral's name for it is "partial 16S ribosomal RNA". It matches the Rfam family "Bacterial small subunit ribosomal RNA", at positions 524 to 776 of the family's 1533-position model. The record is from RNAcentral.
GACGAAGGGGGCUAGCGUUGUUCGGAAUUACUGGGCGUAAAGCGCGUGUAGGCGGUUGCCAAAGUCGGGUGUGAAAGCCUUGAGCUCAACUCAAGAAUUGCACUCGAUACUUGGUGACUAAAGGACCGGAGAGGAUAGUGGAAUUCCCAGUGUAGUGGUGAAAUACGUAGAGAUUGGGAAGAACACCAGUGGCGAAGGCGGCUAUCUGGACGGUUUCUGACGCUAAGACGCGAAAGCGUGGGGAGCAAACAGG